This is a long non-coding RNA of Corticium candelabrum, 1074 nucleotides long. RefSeq lists it as uncharacterized. The transcript is spliced from 7 exons. NCBI's taxonomy places the organism in Eukaryota, Metazoa, Porifera, Homoscleromorpha, Homosclerophorida, Plakinidae. The record is from RefSeq and is a predicted model, not a curated record.
GCUGAGAACGUUGGCGGCAUUUGCAGCUUUUUGUGGUGUACGUUUCGUCGGCUGAAUGGAACUUAUGGUUUAUACUUGGAUAAAUAUUACUGACACGAGGUUACCAUUUCCGUGGUGAUGAGGAAAAUUGUGGCCCCAGACAAAAGAGAAUGUGACAUAGUGGACAUAACGUUAUCAAGUAUCCCAAAGUCAUUGCUACGUAAUACGGAAUGUUGAAUGGUGGUUGUACGGAUGGUACUGUUACUGUCUCCCAGAUCACUUCUGCCUGUGUGAACUUCCACUCCAAGUCAGCGUUGUCCUAUGAAGCAGCAACGAGGUUGUUGAGUGUGAUUGGUGGCUGCAUCGAGCAUUGUUACUGCUAUGUCUUCCAUCUCGUCUCUGAAAUUGUAGUACAAAACGGCUUUCAUGGGGUUAAAACGUGCAAGAUUACAAAAGAUGCCACUCAACGUCAUGGCGGUUACAAUUGGAUCGGGAGAUUCGAAUAUGACGUCUGUGCUACACAGCGUUGACAGAUGACUUGCAUCGAUACCCAGUUGAUGGAGCUUCUUAGAGCUGGGCAAGACUGCACCCGAUCUGACAAAUUGACUUUGGCUCCGAACUGUAUGAGCAUGUCGAUACAAGAGGAGUUAGUAGAAGAUCCGGCUGCUGCGAGAAGUGCGAAAUUGUAUGGAGUGUUUCUACUCUUUGUUUGAGGAAAGAGUUUCAGAACUGCCUGCAAAAGCAAUGAAUAUCUUGUUCCUACUGAUCACAUCAGGCUGACAUUGCUUCACCACAUCUAGCAGUUCCUUUACGUCAGUAUGUCGUUCAAGAAGUAGCUUCAAAGCAUCCGGACAAUCACAUUUACCAGUAGACUGAUUACGUACCUCAAGAUCACAACCCAAUUCCAGCAGAAUGGUGAGAAACUGUGGAUCGACGGAGCAUUGAGUAGAUAGCUGCAAUAGUUGAGACACCGAAUUACAAAGUAUACAAAUCGAUGACCUAAUGUUGCUCUACCACGUGACAUAGUACAGUUUGUCCCAUGUUGUCGGGUUUGUUCACAUUUUUAGUCUUUCGACCAAUGACUAAAAUCAUCUG